RNAcentral lists this long non-coding RNA (238 nucleotides) under Amborella trichopoda. Its description in RNAcentral is "long non-coding RNA (ATRI_LNC005407)". The record is from RNAcentral. Lineage: Eukaryota; Viridiplantae; Streptophyta; Magnoliopsida; Amborellales; Amborellaceae.
CCGAUUCUAAAAAGGUAUAACAUCAUGGGUCAGCGUGGACCAACCCCUAGAAAGGUAUAACAACAUGGGUCACCAUGGACCAACACCCGAUUCCCACAUGUGGAAGGGUUCUAGAAAGGUAUAUACAGCAUGGGUCAGCGUGGACCAACCCCUGAUUCCCACAUGUGCGUAUAACGUGCAACUGCACAUGCACGUGGCAAGUAACAACCUUCAACGUGCACUACCAUACACAUUGCCA